CUCACUGCAGGGUUUAUGCACAGGUCUGUGUCACUGUGUGCUGUGUUCGGCGGAGGGACCCAGCUGACCGUCCUUGGUCAGCCCAAGGCAGCCCCCACCGUCAAUAUCUUUGCUCCAUCCCAAGAUGAGCUAGCCACCCCAAAGGCCACCAUCGUGUGUCUCAUCAGUGGCUUCUACCCGGGUGCCGUGGAGGUGGCCUGGACCAAGGAUGGCUCCCCUGUGUCCCAGGGUGUGGAGACCAGCCGGCCCUCCCGCCAGAGUGACAACAAGUACUCAGCUAGCAGUUACCUCUCACUCACAGCUAACCAGUGGCAGGCAGCCAAGACCUUCACCUGCAAGGUCACCCACGAUGGAAAGGUCAUCCAGAAGGAGGUGUCCUCAAGCCAGUGCACCUAGAUGCCACAUCCCUCCUGGACCCCCCCCCUCUAUCCCCACACAUGGGCUUCCCCAGCCCAUCCUCCUCCUCCUCUCUCUCCUGAUUUCAAUAAAGAUCUUUCUUUUCUCA
Molecule: non-coding RNA, 505 nt
Organism: Dromiciops gliroides (monito del monte)
Lineage: Eukaryota; Metazoa; Chordata; Mammalia; Microbiotheria; Microbiotheriidae
Source: the annotation of a RefSeq genome assembly